RNAcentral lists this long non-coding RNA (515 nucleotides) under Homo sapiens (human). RNAcentral's name for it is "non-protein coding lnc-OR11H2-11:1". The record is from RNAcentral. Lineage: Eukaryota; Metazoa; Chordata; Mammalia; Primates; Hominidae.
UUAGGAGCUGCACAGUAAAGGUCCCAAAAUACACACCACCACGAGUGCAAAAACCGAGGCUGUUCUCCCAACGUGAUGUUUUUUUUUUUCCCAGAGAAUCUCCGAUAAGAAGGUCUGUGCAGAUUUCUGUGUUCCUACCUGCAGUAAAUAUUCGUAGACGUAUAAAGCUAACUUUUCCCCAGCCUGCCCGUCCGAGGGCACCAACGAGCCUUUGUCUUUGGCAAACAUGGUUUGCAGGGAAGAGGGCUCCAAGCCUCGCCACAGCCGCCACCGCCCCGGCUCUCCCGAGCUGCCCCUGGCUCCCGGCCCCCUCCCAGGCGCUCGCUCGCUCUCUCGCUAGCUGGCGCUCUCCUCGCCGCGCUCCCCUCCCUCCCGACCAGGCGCUGGCUCCGCGCUCUUUUCAGCUGUCAAAGCAUCAGCCCGGACCACGGCCCCAUCGCCCUGGAACUCCUCCCGUGCCGGCUGGGCCUGGGGUGCCGCCGCGGCCUCCCGAAAGGCCGCCAGGUCUCCGCUAG